Molecule: transfer RNA, 89 nt
Filed under: Clostridiales bacterium
Lineage: Bacteria; Bacillati; Bacillota; Clostridia; Eubacteriales
Description: tRNA-Leu
Rfam family: tRNA
About the family: Transfer RNA (tRNA) molecules are approximately 80 nucleotides in length. Their secondary structure includes four short double-helical elements and three loops (D, anti-codon, and T loops).
Source: RNAcentral
GCCCGAGUGGCGGAACUGGCAGACGCCUUGGACUUAAAAUCCAAUGAGGGGUAACCCUCGUAUCGGUUCAAAUCCGAUUUCGGGCACCA